CCUACGGGUGGCAGCAGUGGGGAAUAUUGGGCAAUGGGCGCAAGCCUGACCCAGCAAUGCCGCGUGAAGGAAGAAGGCUUUCGGGUUGUAAACUUCUUUCAAGAGGGAAGAGCAGAAGAAGGUACCUCAUGAAUAAGCCACGGCUAACGACGUGCCAGCAGCCGCGGUAAUACGUAGGUGGCAAGCGUUGUCCGGAUUUACUGGGUGUAAAGGGCGUGUAGCCGGGCUGACAAGUCAGAUGUGAAAUCCCGUGGCUCAACCACGGAAUUGCAUUUGAAACUGUCGGGCUUGAGUAUCGGAGAGGCGGGCGGAAUUCCUAGUGUAGCGGUGAAAUGCGUAGAGAUGUGGAGGAACACCAGUGGCGAAGGCGGCCUGCUGUACAACAACUGACGGUCAGGUGCGAAAGCGUGGGGAGCAAACAGGAUUAGAUACCCGAGUAGUC
This 442-nucleotide ribosomal RNA is filed under the name uncultured bacterium. Its description in RNAcentral is "partial 16S ribosomal RNA". It matches the Rfam family "Bacterial small subunit ribosomal RNA", at positions 338 to 795 of the family's 1533-position model. The record is from RNAcentral.